This 1455-nucleotide ribosomal RNA is filed under the name uncultured organism. RNAcentral's name for it is "SSU rRNA". It matches the Rfam family "Bacterial small subunit ribosomal RNA". The record is from RNAcentral.
GAUGAACGCUAGCUACAGGCUUAACACAUGCAAGUCGAGGGGCAGCAUGGUCUUAGCUUGCUAAGGCCGAUGGCGACCGGCGCACGGGUGAGUAACGCGUAUCCAACCUGCCUUACACUCUUGGACAGCCUUCUGAAAGGGAGAUUAAUACAAGAUGUUAUCAUGAGUAAGCAUUUUCGCAUGAUUAAAGGUUUACCGGUGUAAGAUGGGGAUGCGUUCCAUUAGAUAGUAGGCGGGGUAACGGCCCACCUAGUCUUCGAUGGAUAGGGGUUCUGAGAGGAAGGUCCCCCACAUCGGAACUGAGACACGGUCCAAACUCCUACGGGAGGCAGCAGUGAGGAAUAUUGGUCAAUGGACGAGAGUCUGAACCAGCCAAGUAGCGUGAAGGAUGAAGGUUCUAUGGAUUGUAAACUUCUUUUAUACGGGAAUAAACAAAUCCACGUGUGGAUUUUUGCAUGUACCGUAUGAAUAAGGAUCGGCUAACUCCGUGCCAGCAGCCGCGGUAAUACGGAGGAUCCGAGCGUUAUCCGGAUUUAUUGGGUUUAAAGGGAGCGUAGAUGGGUUGUUAAGUCAGUUGUGAAAGUUUGCGGCUCAACCGUAAAAUUGCAAUUGAUACUGGCAGUCUUGAGUACAGUUGAGGUAGGCGGAAUUCGUGGUGUAGCGGUGAAAUGCUUAGAUAUCACGAAGAACUCCGAUUGCGAAGGCAGCUUACUAACCUGUAACUGACAUUGAUGCUCGAAAGUGUGGGUAUCAAACAGGAUUAGAUACCCUGGUAGUCCACACGGUAAACGAUGAAUACUCGCUGUAGGCGAUAUACAGUCUGCGGCCAAGCGAAAGCAUUAAGUAUUCCACCUGGGAAGUACGCCGGCAACGGUGAAACUCAAAGGAAUUGACGGGGGCCCGCACAAGCGGAGGAACAUGUGGUUUAAUUCGAUGAUACGCGAGGAACCUUACCCGGGCUUAAAUUGCAACCGAAUAUGGCGGAAACGCUAUAGCUAGCAAUAGCGGUUGUGAAGGUGCUGCAUGGUUGUCGUCAGCUCGUGCCGUGAGGUGUCGGCUUAAGUGCCAUAACGAGCGCAACCCUUGCCGAUAGUUACUAACAGGUCAUGCUGAGGACUCUGUCGGGACUGCCAUCGUAAGAUGUGAGGAAGGUGGGAUGACGUCAAAUCAGCACGGCCCUUACGUCCGGGGCUACACACGUGUUACAAUGGGGGGUACAGAGGGCUGCUACCACGCAAGUGGAUGCCAAUCCCAAAAACCUCUCUCAGUUCGGAUUGAAGUCUGCAACCCGACUUCAUGAAGCUGGAUUCGCUAGUAAUCGCGCAUCAGCCACGGCGCGGUGAAUACGUUCCCGGGCCUUGUACACACCGCCCGUCAAGCCAUGGGAGCCGGGGGUACCUGAAGUGCGUAACCGCAAGGAGCGCCCUAGGGUAAAACUGGUGACUGGGGCUAAGU